RNAcentral lists this small RNA (28 nucleotides) under Bombyx mori (domestic silkworm). Its description in RNAcentral is "ovarian small RNA-11813". Lineage: Eukaryota; Metazoa; Arthropoda; Insecta; Lepidoptera; Bombycidae. The record is from RNAcentral.
AGACACCAAAGUGCCGCCGGCUCAUCAG